RNAcentral lists this long non-coding RNA (651 nucleotides) under Heterocephalus glaber (naked mole-rat). RNAcentral's name for it is "lncRNA (ENSHGLG00100035546.1)". Lineage: Eukaryota; Metazoa; Chordata; Mammalia; Rodentia; Bathyergidae. The record is from RNAcentral.
GGCUCACAGGAGACCAGGACUCACUGCAGGGGUUCUGGUCAACAAGGACCCAGGACAUGAGGAAGACUUUUCUAGAGGGUCCUACAACUUUGGGCAUUCGGAGUCACGUGGAAGACACCAAAUCACCCCGUUGCAGACAGGCAGGUCUGCCCAUGCCCUACCGAGGUCCUGAGUUGCACAGAACAUGCCGAAUCAGCCCACUGGACACAGGAAGGUCUGUGCACACCCUACCGAGGUCCUGAGUCACGCGGAAGACACCAAAUCUCCUCACUGCAGACAGGCAUCCACCUGGUUCCACACUACAAAGAUGCAGAGGACACCAGACCACCAGACCAAGGCUUGUUUUGUGUCUUGCCAUUUUAUCUAUCCUUGAGAAUGGUUCAUGUGCAGCUGAGAAAAUAUGUACCCUGCAGCUGUUGGAUGAGAAGUUCUACAAAUGUCUGACAACUGAGAUGGACGAGCACUAGGAAACAUGAAGAUGCUCCGCGAUCUGUCAUUCCCCCAACCUGCAACCUUCUGCAACAUGAACAUGGAGCUGACAGACCAGAAACGAUGCCCAUACUUUAAGUUUGCACUCUUCCUGAUGCCCUGAUUUUGAGCACUGUUAGUAGGAGGGAACUCAAGCACUAGGUUCCAGUUUAUCAUUUGUAG